This 63-nucleotide transfer RNA is filed under the name Paracarsidara gigantea. RNAcentral's name for it is "tRNA-Asn". The record is from RNAcentral. Lineage: Eukaryota; Metazoa; Arthropoda; Insecta; Hemiptera; Carsidaridae.
AUGAAUAGAAGUCAAAAAGAGACAAAUUAUUGUUAAUAAUUUUAUUGAAUAAAAUCCUGUUCA